GGAGAGGUGGCCGAGCGGUUUAAGGCGGCCGUCUUGAAAACGGCUGGGCGCAAGCCCCGCGAGUUCGAAUCUCGCCCUCUCCGCCA
This 86-nucleotide transfer RNA is filed under the name soil metagenome. It matches the Rfam family "tRNA". Rfam says of the family: Transfer RNA (tRNA) molecules are approximately 80 nucleotides in length. RNAcentral also lists the same sequence under 1 other name. The record is from RNAcentral.